Long non-coding RNA from Talpa occidentalis (Iberian mole), 629 nucleotides. RefSeq lists it as uncharacterized. The transcript has 3 exons. NCBI's taxonomy places the organism in Eukaryota, Metazoa, Chordata, Mammalia, Eulipotyphla, Talpidae. The record is from RefSeq and is a predicted model, not a curated record.
CGGGGGCGGAGCCUGGAGCUCAUCAGCCCUGCUGGGCCAGGCAGCAGGCUUAAUUACUGCACUUACCAGAGAAAAUUCCUGGAGAUCUAGAACAAUUGGUGAGGAGAGGAUGCCUCGGCAGUGCCUGCAGCAUUGUUCAGUUAUUGGUGUCUCCCCUCAGGGGUGGUCCCCAUAGUGCUCCCACCAAAAUAGGGAGAGAAGAAGCUGCAGAGAAGACUGAGGAAGGAAGCAGAAUGGAGCCAGAAGGAGACCUGGAGGAGGCACUUGGAGCCUAGAGACACGUGAAGAAACUGUGCUUGUCUUUUGGUCGUGGACGGGGUGACACAGAUGUGGGUGAGACCUCUAGGGAGGUGACAAUGACAGCUUUUAUCUUGAUUUUGAUUUUGCUCUUUUCCUUCGGGGCUUGUCUGGUUGUUUCUGACCCUUUUCUGUGGGUCCCCCCGGGAAGAUGCUUUAGACUUGUGGCAGGCUUUGGGGCCUUGCUCUGGGACAAUCCCAUUUGGAUGGAGUUUUACCCAUGAGGGGACGGGUAACUUCAGGUGCUUUAUUUAGAAACCAGAUUCUUUGGCUUUCCUCUACGGUUUCCUAAUUGUAUUAAAGUUCCUUCCCGUUGAAGUCUCAUGUUUUGU